CCUACGGGGGGCUGCAGUGGGGAAUCUUCCGCAAUGGGCGCAAGCCUGACGGAGCAAUGCCGCGUGAGUGACGAAGGCCUUCGGGUUGUAAAACUCUGUCCUUAGGGAAGAACGGUCUAUAUGUGAAUAAUGUAUAGAAAUGACGGUACCUAAGGAGGAAGCCCCGGCUAACUACGUGCCAGCAGCCGCGGUAACACGUAGGGGGCGAGCGUUGUCCGGAAUCACUGGGCGUAAAGAGCACGUAGGCGGAUUAUUAAGUCAGAUGUGAAAACUCUGGGCUCAACCUAGAGACUGCAUCUGAAACUGGUAGUCUUGAGUAUAGAAGAGGAGAGUGGAAUUCCUAGUGUAGCGGUGAAAUGCGUAGAUAUUAGGAGGAACACCAGUGGCGAAGGCGACUCUCUGGUCUAUAACUGACGCUGAGGUGCGAAAGCGUGGGGAGCAAACAGGCUUAGAUACCCGAGUAGUC
RNAcentral lists this ribosomal RNA (466 nucleotides) under uncultured Peptococcaceae bacterium. Its description in RNAcentral is "bacterial SSU rRNA". It matches the Rfam family "Bacterial small subunit ribosomal RNA", at positions 338 to 795 of the family's 1533-position model. The record is from RNAcentral. Lineage: Bacteria; Bacillati; Bacillota; Clostridia; Eubacteriales; Peptococcaceae.